AAACCAGCACCUCAAGUGGUCAGGAUGAUUAUCGGGCCUAAAGCAUCCGUAGCCGGCUCUGUAAGUUUUCGGUUAAAUCUGUACGCUUAACGUACAGGCUGCUGGGAAUACUGCAGAGCUAGGGAGUGGGAGAGGUAGACGGUACUCGGGAGGAAGUGGUAAAAUGCUUUGAUCUCUCGAUGACCACCUGUGGCGAAGGCGGUCUACCAGAACACGUCCGACGGUGAGGGAUGAAAGCUGGGGGAGCAAACCGGAUUAGAAACCCGAGUAGUCC
This 274-nucleotide ribosomal RNA is filed under the name uncultured bacterium. RNAcentral describes it as "partial 16S ribosomal RNA". It matches the Rfam family "Archaeal small subunit ribosomal RNA", at positions 473 to 747 of the family's 1478-position model. The record is from RNAcentral.